This 619-nucleotide ribosomal RNA is filed under the name uncultured bacterium. Its description in RNAcentral is "bacterial SSU rRNA". It matches the Rfam family "Bacterial small subunit ribosomal RNA", at positions 338 to 953 of the family's 1533-position model. The record is from RNAcentral.
CCUACGGGAGGCAGCAGUGGGGAAUUUUGGACAAUGGGCGCAAGCCUGAUCCAGCAAUGCCGCGUGAGUGAAGAAGGCCUUCGGGUUGUAAAGCUCUUUUGUCAGGGAAGAAACGGUCUACUCUAAUACAGUGGGCUAAUGACGGUACCUGAAGAAUAAGCACCGGCUAACUACGUGCCAGCAGCCGCGGUAAUACGUAGGGUGCAAGCGUUAAUCGGAAUUACUGGGCGUAAAGCGUGCGCAGGCGGUUAUAUAAGUCAGAUGUGAAAUCCCCGGGCUCAACCUGGGAACUGCAUUUGAGACUGUAUGGCUAGAGUGUGUCAGAGGGGGGUAGAAUUCCACGUGUAGCAGUGAAAUGCGUAGAUAUGUGGAGGAAUACCGAUGGCGAAGGCAGCCCCCUGGGAUAACACUGACGCUCAUGCACAAAAGCGUGGGGAGCAAACAGGAUUAGAUACCCUGGUAGUCCACGCCCUAAACGAUGUCUACUAGUUGUCGGGACUUAAUUGUCUUGGUAACGCAGCUAACGCGUGAAGUAGACCGCCUGGGGAGUCGGUCGCAAGNUUAAAACUCAAAUGAAAUUGACCGGNNGAGAGAGCGACGGACGACACGAGGGAGGAGG